AUUGAACGCUGGCGGCAGGCCUAACACAUGCAAGUCGAGCGGAAACGAAGGGUGCUUGCUCCCAGGCGUCGAGCGGCGGACGGGUGAGUAACAUGUGAGAAUCUGCCCAUUAUUGGGGGACAACUCGGGGAAACUCGAGCUAAUACCGCAUAAUCCCUACGGUGGAAAGCGGGGGUCCUUUUGGCCUUGCGCUGAUGCAUGAGCUCACGUCGGAUCAGCUUGUUGGUGAGGUAAAGGCUCACCAAGGCGGCGAUCCGUAGCUGUCCUGAGAGGAUGGUCAGCCACACUGGGAGUGGUACACGGCCCAGACUCCUGCGGGAGGCAGCAGUGGGGAAUCUUGGACAUUGGGGGGAACCCUGAUCCAGCCAUGCCGCGUGGGCGAAGAAGGCCUUCGGUAUGUAAAGCACUUUUAGCAGGGAGGAAGGCGUUGGCCGAAUAAGUUGAAGUACUUGACGGUACCUGCAGAAGAAGCACCGGCUAAUUUCGUG
This 488-nucleotide ribosomal RNA is filed under the name uncultured bacterium. RNAcentral's name for it is "partial 16S ribosomal RNA". It matches the Rfam family "Bacterial small subunit ribosomal RNA", at positions 30 to 507 of the family's 1533-position model. The record is from RNAcentral.